GGUGCUUGCACUUGAAAGAUUUAACAUUGAGACGAGUGGCGAACUGGUGAGUAACACGUGGGUAACCUGCCCUUGAAGUAGGGGAUAACACUUGGAAACAGGUGCUAAUACCGUAUAACAACCAAAACCACCUGGUUUUGGUUUAAAAGACGGCUUCGGCUGUCACUUUAGGAUGGACCCGCGGCGUAUUAGCUUGUUGGUAAGGUAACGGCCUACCAAGGCGAUGAUACGUAGCCGACCUGAGAGGGUAAUCGGCCACAUUGGGACUGAGACACGGCCCAAACUCCUACGGGAGGCAGCAGUAGGGAAUCUUCCACAAUGGACGAAAGUCUGAUGGAGCAACGCCGCGUGAGUGAUGAAGGGUUUCGGCUCGUAAAACUCUGUUGUUGGAGAAGAACAGGUGUCAGAGUAACUGUUGACAUCUUGACGGUAUCCAACCAGAAAGCCACGGCUAACUACGUGCCAGCAGCCGCGGUAAUACGUAGGUGGCAAGCGUUGUCCGGAUUUAUUGGGCGUAAAGCGAGCGCAGGCGGUUUUUUAGGUCUGAUGUGAAAGCCUUCGGCUUAACCGGAGAAGUGCAUCGGAAACCGGGAGACUUGAGUGCAGAAGAGGACAGUGGAACUCCAUGUGUAGCGGUGAAAUGCGUAGAUAUAUGGAAGAACACCAGUGGCGAAGGCGGCUGUCUGGUCUGUAACUGACGCUGAGGCUCGAAAGCAUGGGUAGCGAACAGGAUUAGAUACCCUGGUAGUCCAUGCCGUAAACGAUGAGUGCUAAGUGUUGGAGGGUUUCCGCCCUUCAGUGCUGCAGCUAACGCAUUAAGCACUCCGCCUGGGGAGUACGACCGCAAGGUUGAAACUCAAAG
Molecule: ribosomal RNA, 862 nt
Filed under: uncultured bacterium
Lineage: Bacteria
Description: bacterial SSU rRNA
Rfam family: Bacterial small subunit ribosomal RNA
Source: RNAcentral